GAUGAAGAACGUAGCGAAAUGCGAUACUUGGUGUGAAUUGCAGAAUCCCGUGAACCAUCGAGUCUUUGAACGCAAGUUGCGCCCGAAGCCAUUAGGCCGAGGGCACGCCUGCCUGGGCGCCACACGUCGUUGCCCCCCCAUCUACUCCUUCGGGAUUGCGGGGGGCGGAUGAUGGCCUCCCGUGCGCCUCGUCGCGCGGUUGGCAUAAAUGCCAAGUCCUCGGCGACGCACGCCACGACAAUCGGUGGUUGCGAAACCUCGGUUGCCCGUCGUGUGCGGUCGUCGCGCAUCGAGGGCUCGAAAAAAUUGCCGGGCUCCGGCUCGGCUUUCAACGCGACCCCAGGUCAGGCGGGGUUACCCGCUGAAUUUAAGCAUAUCAAUAAGCGGAGGA
This 391-nucleotide unclassified non-coding RNA is filed under the name soil metagenome. RNAcentral's name for it is "partial contains 5.8S ribosomal RNA, internal transcribed spacer 2, and large subunit ribosomal RNA". The stretch from base 1 to 122 matches the Rfam family "5.8S ribosomal RNA", at positions 35 to 154 of the family's 154-position model. The record is from RNAcentral.